This 66-nucleotide transfer RNA is filed under the name Celes akitanus. Its description in RNAcentral is "tRNA-Gly". The record is from RNAcentral. RNAcentral also lists the same sequence under 1 other name. Lineage: Eukaryota; Metazoa; Arthropoda; Insecta; Orthoptera; Acrididae.
AUUUUUCUAGUAUAUAUAGUACAAUUGACUUCCAAUCAAAAAGAUUGAUAAAUAUCAAGAAAAAUA